This 72-nucleotide transfer RNA is filed under the name Parascardovia denticolens IPLA 20019. RNAcentral describes it as "tRNA-Asn". It matches the Rfam family "tRNA". Rfam says of the family: Transfer RNA (tRNA) molecules are approximately 80 nucleotides in length. Their secondary structure includes four short double-helical elements and three loops (D, anti-codon, and T loops). Lineage: Bacteria; Bacillati; Actinomycetota; Actinomycetes; Bifidobacteriales; Bifidobacteriaceae. The record is from RNAcentral.
UCCCCUUUAGUUCAGUGGCAGAACGCACGGCUGUUAACCGUGGUGUCGCUGGUUCGAAUCCAGCAGGGGGAG